RNAcentral lists this ribosomal RNA (309 nucleotides) under uncultured bacterium. RNAcentral's name for it is "partial 16S ribosomal RNA". It matches the Rfam family "Bacterial small subunit ribosomal RNA", at positions 504 to 809 of the family's 1533-position model. The record is from RNAcentral.
AGAGACAGCAGUCGCCGCGGUAAUACAGAGGGUGCGAGCGUUAAUCGGAUUUACUGGGCGUAAAGCGUGCGUAGGCGGCUUCUUAAGUCGGAUGUGAAAUCCCUGAGCUUAACUUAGGAAUUGCAUUCGAUACUGGGAAGCUAGAGUAUGGGAGAGGAUGGUAGAAUUCCAGGUGUAGCGGUGAAAUGCGUAGAGAUCUGGAGGAAUACCGGUGGCGAAGGCGGCCCCCUGGACAAAGACUGACGCUUAGGUGCGAAAGCGUGGGGAGCAAACAGGAUUAGAUACCCCUGUAGUCCCUGUCUCUUAUAA